Glossina fuscipes is the source of this 1353-nucleotide long non-coding RNA. RefSeq lists it as uncharacterized. The record is from RefSeq and is a predicted model, not a curated record. The transcript has 3 exons. NCBI's taxonomy places the organism in Eukaryota, Metazoa, Arthropoda, Insecta, Diptera, Glossinidae.
GAUUGAUCGUAACGUAUGUUGUGAAGAUGCCAGUUCUUUGAGUUGGUCGGAUAUUCUUGAUUGAUGAUUUUAUGUCUUAAAAACGGUUGAUGUGUCAAUUUUAUAAUUUCUUCAAAACCUGUAUGGGAGUGUAUAACAAUGUAGUUGAAAUAGGAUGAUGACCAGACACGUGGAUAUGGUUGUGUUUAAGUAUGCAUCCUGGAUUAAUGGUUAAGACACCACGCACACUGCUGUUGCUUUUGUGGUUGAUGUGGUUGACUAAAGCCAUUGGUUAUUGGACAGAGAUCUUCAAGUGACAUUGGUUGUCUCAGCAACGCCGCGAAAUAAGUCGACCUAUGGCCCAGGUACGUAGAUGAAAUAUGAUAUGUAGUUCAUCAAAAAUUAUUCCUCGCGGACUCAAAGGCACAAAAGCUGCUGGGUGGUACUGCGAUGCUUCACACCUUAAUUGUGCCGUAACUGCAGUCUUCUAUAUGCCUUCUACCGCCAUAGAUAUAUAAUGGUAGACAUGGACCAAAUCAGCAUGGACCAUAUUCAUGUUCAAGAUAAGUGGUAUCUAUUGGGAACGCUGACAAGAUUUCUUAAAAUUUCGACAAGACCGCUAGUCAUGCAAAUCAAAAGCAAAGCAUAAACUGCACAAAAAUUAAAAGUUACAAGAAAUUACAACUCCUUGAUUUUACUAUAAAACCAAAUUUUUCCUUAACAACCUUGUAUUUCACCAGUUCUAAACGUCUAGGUCUAAUUAAGGGUAAAGGCUACGUACAGAAAAGUAUUUGAUUUGUUGUGAGUAGUCUGAUAUAAAUAGUGGGUACCGUUUUUGUAGCUCCGUGUAUUGAUUGCCAACGAAAAAAUUCUUGGUAGCUGAACUUCACAAAGUUUGUAGAAGAGUAUUUACCGAUAAAUUAGUUAGGGGAUCAAUCGUAGACUUAUCCUUAAUACCUACUGAUACUUUACUUACGUAAAGAAUCCGCACAUUUAAUUGGUAUUCGCAAUAGUAAAAACGAAAGUAAAUUCCCUCCGUAGUCUUUAAUUUAAAUUUAAUAAUUUCUUGCCGUAAGCCAUAACAGUCGAUCCGUUUGCUGCUCUUAGCACAGAGUCUGUAUUUCUUUUGUUAGAAUAUGAGCUCCGCCAAAUGUAAAAUGUAAUUUAUUCGCCUUAUCACUAAUAAAUGGGCCAAGAGCCAUCAGAUUAUCGUGCUAAUUGUCUACUGCCGCCACAACGAGCUUACCUAGUUUGUUGAAUGUUCCGUAUCUUUGCUAUGUGAACAAGAUUAUUCACAUAUAUUCGCAUUUUUGUGAUUUGUGAAUUCGAUAAAGUGUUUUCGAAUUGCACUCCAUAUAUUAUCUGCCAACUGCA